RNAcentral lists this ribosomal RNA (448 nucleotides) under uncultured bacterium. Its description in RNAcentral is "partial 16S ribosomal RNA". It matches the Rfam family "Bacterial small subunit ribosomal RNA", at positions 29 to 523 of the family's 1533-position model. The record is from RNAcentral.
AACGAACGCUGGCGGCAUGCCUAACACAUGCAAGUCGAACGAGACCUUCGGGUCUAGUGGCGCACGGGUGCGUAACGCGUGGGAUCUGCCCUUGGGUUCGGAACAACAGUUGGAAACGACUGCUAAUACCGGAUGAUGACUUCGGUCCAAAGAUUUAUCGCCCAAGGAUGAGCCCGCGUAGGAUUAGCUUGUUGGUGAGGUAAAAGCUCACCAAGGCGACGAUCCUUAGCUGGUCUGAGAGGAUGAUCAGCCACACUGGGACUGAGACACGGCCCAGACUCCUACGGGAGGCAGCAGUGGGGAAUAUUGGACAAUGGGCGAAAGCCUGAUCCAGCAAUGCCGCGUGAGUGAUGAAGGCCUUAGGGUUGUAAAGCUCUUUUACCCGGGAUGAUAAUGACAGUACCGGGAGAAUAAGCCCCGGCUAACUCCGUGCCAGCAGCCGCUGUAA